This 427-nucleotide ribosomal RNA is filed under the name uncultured Nitrosospira sp. RNAcentral describes it as "bacterial SSU rRNA". It matches the Rfam family "Bacterial small subunit ribosomal RNA", at positions 355 to 774 of the family's 1533-position model. The record is from RNAcentral. Lineage: Bacteria; Pseudomonadati; Pseudomonadota; Betaproteobacteria; Nitrosomonadales; Nitrosomonadaceae.
UGGGGAAUUUUGGACAAUGGGGGAAACCCUGAUCCAGCCAUGCCGCGUGAGUGAAGAAGGCCUUCGGGUUGUAAAGCUCUUUCAGCCGGAACGAAACGGUUACGGUUAAUACCCGUGACUACUGACGGUACCGGAAGAAGAAGCACCGGCUAACUACGUGCCAGCAGCCGCGGUAAUACGUAGGGUGCGAGCGUUAAUCGGAAUUACUGGGCGUAAAGCGUGCGCAGGCGGUUUUGUAAGUCAGAUGUGAAAUCCCCGGGCUUAACCUGGGAACUGCGUUUGAAACUACAAGGCUAGAGUGUAGCAGAGGGGGGUGGAAUUCCACGUGUAGCAGUGAAAUGCGUAGAGAUGUGGAGGAACACCGAUGGCGAAGGCAGCCCCCUGGGUUAACACUGACGCUCAGGCACGAAAGCGUGGGGAGCAAACA